Lactuca sativa (garden lettuce) is the source of this 107-nucleotide small nucleolar RNA. The record is from RefSeq and is a predicted model, not a curated record. Lineage: Eukaryota; Viridiplantae; Streptophyta; Magnoliopsida; Asterales; Asteraceae.
AGAUCAUUUUGAGGACAAUUUCUAAGCAAUCCUUUAUAACGCUCUCAUGCCUCAUACAAUUACUCUCCGACUUGUUGCUCAAAAUUUACAAUAGCCUUCUUCAACUU